UACAGAGGGUGCAAGCGUUAAUCGGAAUGACUGGGCGUAAAGGGUGCGUAGGUGGCGAUAUAAGUUAGUUGUGAAAGCCCCGGGCUUAACCUGGGAACUGCAAUUAAUACUGUGUGGCUAGAGUUUGGUAGAGGGUAGUGGAAUUUCCGGUGUAGCGGUGAAAUGCGUAGAUAUCGGAAGGAACACCAGUGGCGAAGGCGGCUACCUGGACCAGAACUGACACUGAGGCACGAAAGCGUGGGUAGCGAACAGG
RNAcentral lists this ribosomal RNA (253 nucleotides) under uncultured bacterium. RNAcentral describes it as "partial 16S ribosomal RNA". It matches the Rfam family "Bacterial small subunit ribosomal RNA", at positions 524 to 776 of the family's 1533-position model. The record is from RNAcentral.